GUAAUUAAUGGAAAAGAUGCUACAGAUAGAUCUCCAUCUCAAAAUACAUAAUAAUAAACAUUCGCUUGCUGGAAUAGAUAUCCAUUGUUCAACUUUCUUUGCAUAUAAAAAAACAUCACCUCCCUUUGUCUCGUAUGAUGCUAGAAUACCUUCAUACCUGAUGUUUUACAGAAACUUCGGUGUAAGAAAUAAUUUACUGGGUGAAUAGUGGAAAUGAAAAAGUACACAAUCUGAUGUUUUCAAGCUCUCAAUAAAUGGAUAUGCUCAGCAGCGGAUGAAAAAAAUCACAAAGCGAAAGCCAACACAAGCCAUAGGAAAAAGUCGUGUGCUCACCUCCAUGCCUGGAAGUUAAACAAGAUAAAGAAAAUGUACAAUAUAAUUGUUUUUGCACGAGAUGUUCCACUCCUAAUCCUAAUCAACUACAUAAUGAACUCCUUUUGCAUAAAUGAUUCCGUCUUCUGGUAUAUUUGGGUUACCGGAAUCUCUCGAGAUGAAAGCUUGAAGCAUGAUUCUGAAAUAUAGAGACACACAUACACCACAAGCAGUAGCAAAGUUUCAAUGCCACCCACGACACCAAAAAAAGUUAAGAUAGAAUAACACUUACAUGUAUAUUAGGUGAAUUCUCCAUAAGCUUGUGGAUGUAUUUAUUAAGCAGUAAGAUAGUUGGCAUUUUCCAUUAUGUCCAUCCUGAAGUCAUAGAUCUAUCACAACAAUAUGCAACUGAACUAUAUAAAGCAUAGCAGAAGAACAUAAAUUAGUACAUCUAUUAAGUUUAUCGGUUAAAUCAUCAUGACAAAAUUCCAUGUAAGAUGAGGCAUAAACUUUAUAUCAAACUGAAACCACCCUUUUAAACAUUUUGUUGACAAAGGACAAUUUUUAUUGUGUGGACGAUAGCUUUAUAUAUUUUACACGCUUCCAAUUAAUCAUGUUGAAGAAAUUUUUGAAAACGGACAAAAGACAAGGAGAGAAGUGAGGAUGCUGAUAUGGUAAACUAGGAUAAAGCAAUAAUGGAGAGAAUAUGUAAACUCACUUGUAACUUGUGACAUAGAUCUUACAGUGGAGAGGCCAGUUCUACAUGACUGGCCAUGGAGCGAGAGCAUGUGUACUCUAAUGCUACGGCAGGGACGCGAGGAAUCUUUUUUUAAGAACAAGCAACAAAGGAACACUGAAAUCUCAGCAAAAUAAGGCACCUAUGACUCAACCUGUCAACGGAAACACUAUUAUAGGAGAUGAAGUUUCACCGGGAGCAGCAACAUUUGUUCAACAGAAAUACUGCUUCUCAUUCAACUAGUUUGGCACCAACCUGCCAAUCAUCCUAGCUGGAUGCUACCACCAAGUGAGUAUAUGCAUGCACGUCUGGACUGUCAAAUAUGUAAAACAUUCACCACUGUUGUGGAGAGUUUACUCCUUUGUGAUGCUUGCGAAAGAGGUAUACACUUAAAUUGCCUUCAACAGUAUGGGAACAAAGGCAUGUCUAAUGCAGACUGGUAUUGCCCAAGAUGUGUAAUGUAUAGUAAGGGCAAACCUCCGCCUCCAAAUUAUGGCAAGAUUUCAAGAAAAAUUAUUGCACCAAAGGCUAGUGGUGUCACUUUUCUAGGAGGUUCAGAAAACCCACGCACAAAAGAUAAUAGUAAAAAAGUGGCAGCAAACAGAAAGUUCCAUCAAGCAGAACUCCAAUGAACCUGGUAGGUCUGUAUGUAACAGCGACAUAUUGGCCUUAGGCACUGCUAGUUCAUAAGCACAAUCGGCCUCUGCUUCUGAACAUCAAAAGGGAAACAUUUAAUAUACUGACACUUUGUCUAAACAAAAUGAAGGAUAUAGCCCAUCUUAAGAGGCGUAAGUACAAAGAGCAAAAUAUUGGUCUUACCUGUCCAAAGAGAUUUGAGAUUACCAACACCAAAAAAUUCCAGUACGAAGCUACAAAAUGAAAUCAAUCGAGCAACGCUAGCAUGAACAUCACCUGUAUGCACAAAUUUUUGGUGUGAGAG
RNAcentral lists this long non-coding RNA (1988 nucleotides) under Triticum aestivum (bread wheat). Its description in RNAcentral is "long non-coding RNA (TAES_LNC007144)". Lineage: Eukaryota; Viridiplantae; Streptophyta; Magnoliopsida; Poales; Poaceae. The record is from RNAcentral.